UGGAAUGGACUUCAGCAAGAAACUGGAAACAAUAGAUAACACAGAGAAAAGUCCACAACCACAAAAAAGUACAGGCAAUUGAAAUAAUUAAAUGGUGAAGAAAAAGAUACAAGAAAAGCAAGUGUGGGAACAUGUACAUAGAUUGCCAAGGUGGUCUCUGUGCCUGAGAACUAUAUGAACAGUGCAGUUCAUGGGGAAAGAUGUUACUGUCCAAAAGGAGUCUGAUCUAGCUCAAAGAGGUUUAUGUGCACUGACAUUGAGUUCUGUAGCUGUAUGAAAUUACCAUGACCUGUCAAAUAGCAGAACCAAGAACCUUAAGACUGAGGAAAAGCCUCUGAAAGUUGCCGGCAGUUAAGAAAGCGUGGAGUAGAUUGCAGAAGGGGUGAGUAGCUGAGCUUUGCAGCUCUGUUUGAGACAACUGAACUGCUAUGCAGUUUACCAUGCUGCAGCUCCAUAUAUUUAUUUCAAUUCUGGAAUAUCUGGAAACUAAUCUCUUACUAGGUUAAUUGUCUUUUACCACUGUGAUCUAGAAAUGUAAACAAAUAUUUUUAUUGACAUUAAAGCCAAUUCUCCAGUUAACACUGGAAUUAACCCAUGUUUUCUAUACUUCUACUCAGAUGUUAGAAGCAUGUAAGGCAUGGAAUGUAAAUAGAUUUAGUUAUUUGCAUUUUAACCAGCAAAAAAGUGUUUCUCUGAAUAUUUUUGACUGAAAAAAUAGUCUAGUGAUAAUUACCUAUUUUUACAUGUAUUAUAUAUGAAGUAGGGAUACACAUACUAAUUAGAUAGUAAAAUUAAAUACUUAUGAAGUGCUGUUGGUCUAUAAA
Cygnus olor (mute swan) is the source of this 824-nucleotide long non-coding RNA. RefSeq lists it as uncharacterized. NCBI's taxonomy places the organism in Eukaryota, Metazoa, Chordata, Aves, Anseriformes, Anatidae. The record is from RefSeq and is a predicted model, not a curated record. The transcript is spliced from 3 exons.